GGAAGGAUCAUUCCUAUCCUAAAACAACCCCAUUCAGCUGAUGUUACCCCACUCUUCAUCUUUAUAAAAAGACAAAAUUUAUACUUUCAAUGAUGGAUGUCUCGGGUCUCUCAACGAGGAAGAGCGCAGCAAACUGCGAAAAGCAGCAUGAAACGCACUAUACGUGAAUCAUCAGAUUCUUGAACGCAAAUGGCAGUUGUUUGGUUCUCCAACGACUAUGUUUGAUUCAGUGUCUUAAAACCCUUUCUCCCUUUGGAGCGCUGAACUGGUACAAUUGUGCUGGUUUGAAGUUUUUGUUGAUAUGUUUCACUCAACGUACGGAGAUCCCGCUUCGUUUUGUGUUAGAUCUCAACAACUUUCAACCUUUUGACCUGAAUUCAAGCAAGACUACCCGCUGAAUUUAAGCAUAUAAUUAAGCGGAGGAAAAGAAACUAACUAGGAUUCCCUUAGUAGUGGCGAACGAAGUGGGAAAAGCCCAAACCGUAACCUAUCAGUCUUGGCUGAUGGAUUGAGGUUGUGCUGGAGGACCAGUUGGUAGUCAGGGUCAAGCCUCGUGAAUGCGAGCGCCAAAGAGGGUGAGGGCCCCGUCCUUACUCUGAAACUGCCAGCGGUCGGCCUUCAAGCUUUGAGUCGUGUUCCUUGGGAGUGGAGCGCAAAUGGGUGGUAGCUUUCAUCUAAGGCUAGAUAUAGGAGAGACACCGAUAGUGAAGAAGUACCGUGAGGGAAAGAUGAAAAGAACCUCGAAAGGGGGAUUAAAAUAGCCUGAAAACAUUGAAAGGGAAGUGAUUGGAGUUUUAGUUGCCAUUGCACAAGCACUUCUGAGACUUCUUUAUGAGUGUGAAAGCCACAUACUAGAAGUACGAGGAAAUUGCUUGUGCAUGCAAACAGGUUGGGCCUAAAGUUGAUAUUAGGUAACAUAUUUGAAUGUGAGCCCUGCUUACAUGAUUUGCUUACCUAACUCUUUUGGGUGAGAGAUGCAACCUUUGUAAAGAGCUUCAAACAACCCGUCUUGAAACACGGACCAAGGAGUCUAACUCAUGUGCAAGUUCUAAGGUUUGAAACCUUUGAGCGAAAUGAAAGUGAUAGUUUGGAUACUUGCAGAAACGACCAACUUCCUCGUGAGGUUUGUGUAGGAGCAUGUGGGUUCGGACCCGAAAGAUGGUGAACUAUGCCUGAGUAGGGUGAAGCCAGGGGAAACCCUGGUGGUGGCUCGUAGCGAUACUGACGUGCAAAUCGUUCGUCAAACUUGGGUAUAGGGGCGAAAGACUAAUCGAACCAUCUAGUAGCUGGUUCCCUC
Molecule: unclassified non-coding RNA, 1297 nt
Filed under: uncultured fungus
Lineage: Eukaryota; Fungi
Description: sequence contains 18S rRNA gene, ITS1, 5.8S rRNA gene, ITS2, 28S rRNA gene
Rfam family: Eukaryotic large subunit ribosomal RNA (bases 368-1297)
Source: RNAcentral